This 253-nucleotide ribosomal RNA is filed under the name uncultured bacterium. RNAcentral describes it as "partial 16S ribosomal RNA". It matches the Rfam family "Bacterial small subunit ribosomal RNA", at positions 524 to 776 of the family's 1533-position model. The record is from RNAcentral.
UACGUAGGGUGCAAGCGUUGUCCGGAAUUAUUGGGCGUAAAGGGCGCGUAGGCGGCGCGGUAAGCGUGCGGUGAAAGCCCGGGGCUCAACCCCGGGUCGGCCGUGCGGACUGCCGGGCUGGAGCACUGUAGAGGCAGGUGGAAUUCCGGGUGUAGCGGUGGAAUGCGUAGAUAUUCGCAAGAACACCAGUGGCGAAGGCGGCUCACUGGCCCGAUACUGACGCUGAGGCACGAAAGCGUGGGGAGCAAACAGG